UUGCCAGCCCGCUCAGAAACUCAAAGGAAUUGACGGGGCCCGCACAAGCGGUGGAGUAUGUGGUUUAAUUCGACGCAACGCGCAGACCUUACCUGGUCUUGACAUCCCGAGAAUUUCCUGGAAACAGGAAAGUGCCUCGCAAGAGGAACUUGGUGACAGGUGCUGCAUGGCUGUCGUCAGCUCGUGUCGUGAGAUGUUGGGUUAAGUCCCGCAACGAGCGCAACCCUUGUCUUUAGUUGCCAUCAUUAAGUUGGGCACUCUAAAGAGACUGCCGGUGUCAAACCGGAGGAAGGUGGGGAUGACGUCAAGUCCUCAUGGCCUUUAUGACCAGGGCUACACACGUACUACAAUGGCAGGUACAAAGGGCAGCCACUUAGCGAUAAGGAGCGAAUCCCGUAAAACCUGUCUCAGUCCGGAUUGGAGUCUGCAACUCGACUCCAUGAAGUUGGAAUCGCUAGUAAUCGCAGAUCAGCACGCUGCGGUGAAUACGUUCCCGGGCCUU
Molecule: ribosomal RNA, 502 nt
Filed under: uncultured Desulfocapsa sp.
Lineage: Bacteria; Pseudomonadati; Thermodesulfobacteriota; Desulfobulbia; Desulfobulbales; Desulfocapsaceae
Description: bacterial SSU rRNA
Rfam family: Bacterial small subunit ribosomal RNA
Source: RNAcentral